UGGUGGUGGUGGUGGUGGUAUGGUAGUCGAGUGUAUGUGUAUAUGUUUGUGCGUGACUGGCUGACUGACUGACUGGUUGGUUGGCUGAAUGAAUGCUUAACUGACUAACUAAUUAACUUUUUGCCUUUCUGAAUGGCUGAAUGCUUUUCUGACUGACUUGUUGACUGACUGACUGACUAACUUCCUGACUGGUGUGGUGAGUUAGCGAAGUGUUGCUGAUUUAUUCAUUCCCUUGACCUUCUGUGCUGACCUGACCUGACCUGACUGACUGAUGGGAUGGUGAACUGGAGAAGUGAAACUGGCCUAUCCAACCCCGUGACUAGAGUGGUGACUGACUAACUGGCUCGCGGAAUUAAUAGAAGUUGUGCUGACUGACUGAAUGAAUGAAUGACUUGCGGAAUAGUAAAGUAAAAGUUGCGCUGACGAAUCGAUUUAUUGACUGACUCACUGACUGACUGACUUCCGGAACAGUGAAUUAAAAGGUUGCGCCGAGUUAUUUAUUCUCCUGUCUUAACUGCGUUGCGUGACUGUCGUGGCUGUGAUUUAAAGAAGUGAACAGCGACAGUCACUACUCAGCUCUGCGCUCCAUAUCAUUACAGUCACGCAGUCCUGGGUCUUGAAUACUGGACUGACUGGCUGGCCGACUGGCUGGCUGGGUUGGCUUGAGAAUUGCGUCCGCCUUUCACGUCAACUCUUUCCAAAUGCCGAGAAAGAGAUGAGUCGGGUUCUAAGGAGUAUUUUUUAGGCUCAUGGUACAAAAGAAGGGUCAAGCUACCACCAGGGUCAUAAAACUACACCUGGAUAUGCCCACAACUCCCACGAAAGCCUGGUCAAAAAUAUGUGUGUUCCUGGAUGUUAAUAUGUUUAAGAAUAUAACCCAAAGAGAUCAUGAGAGGGAAUUUAUUUGAAGGGGAACGCGCAUUUUAGGUUUGUGUUUUAGGAUAGAUCAUAAACUCACCCCUGGAAAUGCCCACAACUCCUACGAAAGCAUUGCCAAAAAUAUGUGUGUGUUUAGGCGUGGAAAUGUUUAAGAAAAUGACCUAAAGAAACAAUGAGAGGGAAUUUGUUUGAAGGGGAACGCGCAUAUUAGGUUAGUGUUUAUUGUGUAGACAGAGAUAGGAAGAUAAACAGACAGGACACACAGACAGACAGACAGACAGAUGACCAGGCACGUAAUCAAGCACAACCAGAUGGACGAACACACAAACAACAGAGUAACAAAAAAAGGGACAGCAUAAAUUCUAGCUGCGCGUGGCCUCAGUGCUCAUCUCCGUAACCUCGUUGAGUGAGUAGUCUAGACCCACAUUAGCCAAGUCGGAAAGGGACUUAUAAUUAAAGUCAAACUGGACGAUACAUUUUGAAGACAUCUAAGUGCUCUUUAACGAGACUCAGGUGACAACGGAGUGUCCUUGACGGUGUGUGUGUGUUCAAGACGUGACUUGCGUGGUGUCUAGACAUGUAUAUAUCAGGCUCAAUGUAUCCGGAAGGAGGAGGAGGAGGAGGAGGAGGAGGAGGAAACGAAGAAGAAUGAGAAAAAGGAGGAGGAGAAGCAGGAGCAGUAGGAGAAGGAGGAGGAAGGGGAGAAGCAGGAGGAGGAGGAGGAGGAGGAGCAGUAGGAGGAGAAGAGGGAGAAGGAGGGGGAGAAGAAGGAGGAGGAAAUGGAGGUGAAAAUGAAGAAAGAAAAGGAGAAAUAAAAUCAACAAUAACAAAUACGAAUAAUAAAAAAGAAGAACAGGAACAAGACUAAAGAAUAAUAAUGAGAAGGAGAAGGAGGAGGAGAAGAUGUUGAAGUGGAGAUGGAGAAAGAAGAGGAAGAAUAAGAAGAACAACAAUAACAAGUGGAAAUAACAGGAAAAAGAAGAACAGGAAGAAGUAUAAAGAAAAACAAUAUUAAUAAGGAGGAAGAGAAGAGGAAGAUGUGGACGAAGAGGGGAAGGAGGAGAAAGAAGAGGAAAAACAAGAAAAACAUCAAUAACGAGUGGAAAUUAUAGGAAAAAGAAGAACAGGGAAAAGUCGAGAGAAUAAUAAUAAAAAUAAGAAUGAGGAAGAGAAGAGGAAGAGGUGGACAAAGAAGGGAAGGAGGAGAAAGAGAGGAAAAAUAAGAGAAAUCAAUAACAAGUGGAAAUAAUAGGGAAAAAAAGAACAGGAACUACUAGGGAAUACUGAAGAGGAGGAGGAGAAGAAGGAGGAGGAAGCAGAGAAGAGAAAGAGGUGGAGAUAGAGAAAGAAGAAGAAAAAGAAGAAAAACAACAAUGGCAUACGAAUUAGAGGAAAACGAAGGAGGGGAACAAAACUAGCGGAUAACACUAAUAAGAAGGAAGAAGUGAAGGAAGAGAAGAAGAAAAAAAAACUAGCUCGUAAACUCGCUGCAGUAGGUCAUCAAAAGGCGGCGAAAUGAGCACACACACACACACACACACACACACACACACACACACACACACACACACACACACACACACACACACACACACACACACACGAUUGCCACUAAAUAUUCUAUGCACUAGCAGGAGAAAAUGGACAGACAGACAUACGAACAUACUAACUCCUUAUCUUAAUUGGCGCUUGAGGAUACAAAGACAGACAGACAGAGAGAUUGAAAGAUAAACAGACAGACGGACAGACGAACAGGCACGUAGGCAAGCAAACAUACAGACAGACUGACAUUUAAACACACACACACACACACACACACACACACACACACACACACACACACACACACACACACAC
Long non-coding RNA from Eriocheir sinensis (Chinese mitten crab), 2736 nucleotides. RefSeq lists it as uncharacterized. NCBI's taxonomy places the organism in Eukaryota, Metazoa, Arthropoda, Malacostraca, Decapoda, Varunidae. The transcript has 2 exons. The record is from RefSeq and is a predicted model, not a curated record.